GCGUUGCUGGGGGUGGGGGUAGAGGGCAGGCAAGAAAACCAGAAGCUGUAAUCACAGCGGUGUGUUGAAAAACAAGUUCUUUGGGAAUCCAGAGGGAAGAGAGAAUUUUUGUCCCCUUCUCCGGGGGAUUUGUAGUUUUCCCAGAGGAGGCAGAGAUGCAUUAAAGUGCUGGCGAUUGAUUUAAGUUAAUUAGCAGCAAAAGUAGGUGAAAUUCCGAGAGAGCCAGCCAGAGUGGCAGGGCAGAAUGCGAAGCCCAGUUCCCUGCAGGAGAGCCCGGCCUUGCUUCCUGGGCUGCAGGAAGCUCAGGGGAGGGAGGGGAAGGGUCUGCUCCUCGGCGCGGCCUCACCUCUGAGAAACCGUCCAGAGGAAAUGGUCUGAAGCUCGGAGGAGGCGGGGCUCAGAGGAGGAGUAAGCAGGUGUCACAGAGCUGUCUCGGGAACAAACCGGGGAGGAAGAGGACGGCCCCUGCCUCCAGGGCUUGCAGCGCCGUCCAGGCCCGAGAGGAGGACUGGGAAGUGCCACGACGCCGGGAUUAGGGCAGGCCCGUGGACUGGGACCCCGGACUUCCUCACCUCCUUUCUGGGCCUUGAUUUCAGCUGAUUACAGGGAGGAGAGAAUUCAAGCUGCCCCAGAAGCUGGAAACGGUCGGAUCCUGCCACCUGCUGGCAGCUUCCGGCUCUGCCUGGGCUCCGUCUGAGCGAGGUAGUAUUCCGUCUCAGAGGGUCCUCUGAGCGCCCUAUGUCUGGCACCCCCAAAAUACUCUUCCAGUACAACCCGGGAGACGCUUUUCUCCGCAGCAGCGCCCCUUACAGCUUCUCUCAGUGCCUGGCUUCUUCCAUAAGAGUUACGGCUUGCUUGUCUUUCCUGGAGAGAAAAUAAGGAGUAGAAACCCACCUGGCAUAAAAUAGAUUAUUAUUUCUGCUAUGGCAUCUCAGCAACAUGAGGACACUUGUGUUGCUAAAAUGUUCACUUUACGGGAUGGAGACUUUGACAAGCAGUAAGCACACCCAAAAGAAGCUUAAAACCAGCCAGGGCUGGGGUGUGGGUCAGUAGCAGAGUGUUACCAUGCACGAAGCCCUGGAUUUGUUUCCCAGUACAUGCACACACUCCAAAAUCACAGAUUACUUUUCUCACAAUUUUUGUUUUUCUUAUUGUAAAAAAAAGUGUUCAUUGUGGAUAAUCAAAAAAUGAAAAAGGCUAUUUACUAAGACUGGAAUAACUUUGAGGACGUUUUUGCAUGGAUAAUAAAAGAUUCCAAGUAGAUAGCUAUUAGACACCCAAGUGGAGAAGGAAUAUCAGUUGAGACUUUGUCAUUACUUUGAUAACUUUUAAAUUUAAUUUCUGCUUGUAUAUGAAUGCAUAUAUGUACAAUAUAUAAAUACAAAAAUGUGAGUUUCUUUACAAAAACAAAAAAAUGAAAAAGCCAUACUCCUGCUAUGGUGGUUGAGUUUUAUGUGGUCAACUUACUUAGCUUGGGAGCUGCACACUUCUAGGG
Molecule: long non-coding RNA, 1495 nt
Filed under: Heterocephalus glaber (naked mole-rat)
Lineage: Eukaryota; Metazoa; Chordata; Mammalia; Rodentia; Bathyergidae
Description: lncRNA (ENSHGLG00100040099.1)
Source: RNAcentral